Molecule: unclassified non-coding RNA, 189 nt
Filed under: plant metagenome
Description: partial contains small subunit ribosomal RNA and internal transcribed spacer 1
Rfam family: Eukaryotic small subunit ribosomal RNA (bases 1-46)
Source: RNAcentral
AAGUCGUAACAAGGUUUCCGUAGGUGAACCUGCGGAAGGAUCAUUAAUGAAAUGCAAGGACGCUCUUUUUAGAGGUCCGACCAACUCAUUUACCUUUACACUGUGCACAUACUACUUUUUUACACCAAUUUUUAACGCAUUAGUUUAAGAAUGUAAAAUCAGUCUCGAAAGAGCAUAAAAUAAAUAAAA